RNAcentral lists this long non-coding RNA (2183 nucleotides) under Malus domestica (apple). Its description in RNAcentral is "long non-coding RNA (MDOM_LNC019375)". The record is from RNAcentral. Lineage: Eukaryota; Viridiplantae; Streptophyta; Magnoliopsida; Rosales; Rosaceae.
CCAACAAAGAAACCAAAAUCAGGCCGAAGCCUGUUUUCCUUUUUGGCACAGGGAUGGUGCGAUGCACCAAAUCCCAAUCCCCUUUUUUUUUUAAUUCCCUUUAGGUUUUUAAAAAAAAACCUAAUAUGCUUCUAAUUUAAUUUUAUACAUUGACUCACAAAUUCCACAUAACAAUUUAAUUGUGCGAUGCAUGAAACAAAUAUAUAUAGUGACAAAUAUAUGAACAUAUACAAUAUAUAUAUCGGAAGGAAAAUAUAAACAUAGGGGGUUCAUGCAUCAUGGGGAAUGUUUUCAUGCUUCAUGGGUCGUUUCAAAUAUCUUCCUUUAUUUUAAGCGUACCUGAGCAGCAGAAAACGAAUAAGCCUUUGAAUGUGGUGGAUGAUAGCCUCCUCCUACGAUGCUUCAGUUCCUCAGCUUCUGGUAAGAGCGUGCUGAUAACGUGUUGUAGGCCUAUUUAAUUGAGCGAUCUAAGGUUUAGAGAGAGAGAGGGAGGCCGGCCACUUUAGAGAGAAGAGAGAUUGAUUUAAUUGUGAGGUGUGUUUGAUUCAUCCCAUUGUGCCUUUAUUUAUAGUAGUUGGAAGGGUAAAUACCUUUCCCUUUAUGAUUUCAACAUUUAAUAGGUAAUCUAAUCCUAAUAGGAAUAUAUAAUACUUUACCAUAUUCUCUAGGAUUUACACAAUCACAUUCCUAUUCGAAAUAAAACUGCAACAGUAAUGAGAUUGCGAGUGGUUCAUAAGUUCAUUAUUCUUUAAAAUGUAUUUUAAUAAAAAAAUAAAAAACCAAUUGGCACACGUUUAACAUUAAGUUAACAAAAACAUUGCUAUUAUUUUGGGAAAGUUUUGUAUAUAAAGUUAUAAAGGAUGGAAAAAAGAGGACUUAGCCAAAUCCUCCAAAUUUGGGCUUCUCAGAUCUUUUUCCGUUCUUCUCCAAGAAUGCAUGAUGAGUAACGAAAAGUGCCCGCAUUUCAGCUUUUCAUCUUCUUCUCCCUGAAGCUAUAAGGAAGCCGGGCGUUUCCUUUCUCUCCGAAGAAUAUAAUAUCCACUGUAAUAUUAGCUUAAAGAACCAAAUGGUGAUUUAGUUGAAACCAAAUUUGCGCACUUCAGUGGACGGUGGUCAAGCACAAAUCCGAGUAACGUGCAAUACAAAUAAUUUAAAACUCAAAUAAUGGGUAAAAGAAUUGAAGUGUUUAGGUUGUGUUUCUAAGUCGAAAGAAUCCUAAAAGAUAUCUAGAAGUAGAUAUUGCAUCCUCUUAGAAGUUAUGAUGGCCCAACCUACAUAUAAUCAAGUUGUAAAUAAGCAAUUGAUAUCGCAGCGCUUGUAGUUAUGUUUUGAAAAGUAAAGAUAACAAAUUUAUCAAUCUUAAAUAAACCACCUUGCUUUUGAUUUAAUAAAAUCAUCUAAAUUAAGAGGCCUUAACACCGUAGAUGCGUCACUUUUAAUCUCUUGUACAAUGAGUAACCAAGCACCACCAAUAGGCACAACUAAAUCAGUACAAAAAUUUACACAUUUUGCAAGUAAAGGCGAAGGUAUUCAUCAAGAAAAUAGAAAAUUGAGAAAAUAGCUCCUCUCAAGGUAUCUACUAUCAAUAUGAGGAGCAUCUACUAUCUGUAAUACCUAGGGAUGGGCAAAAUACCCAUGGGUUUGGGUAACCGCAGUUACCCGCCCAUUUAAAGUUCACAGUUACGGUUAUGGGUAACCGUUUAGAUGGAUAAACGGUUAUGGGUAUAACCGUUUAUCCGUGGAAUUUAAAUGGGCGGUUAUGGAUAUUAUUCAUGGUUAUAACGGGUAUCCAUCGGUUAUGGGUAUUACGUGCGGUUAUACAGGAAUCCAUUUACCCAUUUAAUUUAAUAUAUGUAAAAAUUAAAAAAAAAUUAUCACAAGUGUUCGAUAUUAUAAAAAAUUAAAUUAAAAAAAGGACUUGAUAGCGUAAAUGUUUUUUUUCAAAUUUACCCCUGAUAGAACCUACAAUUACUCAGGGACUUUGAAAACACGGACACAGACACACAUACACAAAACAACAAAAAUAAAAUAAUUAUAAAAAAAAACAAAAAGUAACUGACAGUGGCGGGUGUGGAAAAUGAGGCAACACCAAAAGCCCCAUAUGCGACAGAAAAAGACAAAGUCAAUGAAUGGGCUUGGUUAGAUUCUGUCAGGGGUAAAUUUGGAAAGAAACAUUUACUGAU